UGGGGGGUGGUGAAGCAGUUGGUGGUGGCUGAGCCGGUGGUGUUUGGUUGUUAACUGGUGGAGGAGAACCAGUGGGUGUAGGUGGAGCUUGGGUAGCUGGUGUUGGAGGCGCUUGGGUAGUGGGUGUAGGUGGUGCUUGGUUAGUGGGUGUUGGAGGAGCCUGGUUAGUGGGUGUUGGUGGAGUCUGUGUAGGUGGUGCUUGAUUAGUAGGGGGUGCCUGUGUUGGUGGUGCCUGUGUAGGUGGUGCUUGGGUAGGGGGUGCCUGUGUUGGUGGUGCCUGCGUAGGUGGUGCUUGGUUAGUAGGGGGUGUCUGUGUUGGUGGUGCCUGUGUAGGUGGUGCUUGGGUAGGGGGUGUUGGAGGUGCUUGACCUCCAACCCCAGCGACGAUAAUGCAGAUCAUAAACCCCAACAAAACAGCAUUAUUCCUACCCAUCAUUUUGACAAUGGAGAGGAGGAAAUUAAAGGAAUGUGAAAGAAGAUAUCUGGUGCUGCUUGGGAAAAGAGAGGUUUGGGAAGGGAAUAUAUAAGAGAUUUUCUAAAAGAAGUAUGGUAUAUAUUUGAAGGUUGGAAAAGAAAGAGUAGAAAGGUGGCAAAUCCAAUUUGUAGUAACAGUGUGAGUUGUGACUACCAAAUACUUAUG
Molecule: long non-coding RNA, 640 nt
Filed under: Solanum tuberosum (potato)
Lineage: Eukaryota; Viridiplantae; Streptophyta; Magnoliopsida; Solanales; Solanaceae
Description: long non-coding RNA (STUB_LNC009691)
Source: RNAcentral